CCUACGGGGCGCAGCAGUGAGGAAUAUUGGUCAAUGGCCGCAGGGCUGAACCAGCCAAGUCGCGUGAGGGAUGACGGUCCUAUGGAUUGUAAACUUCUUUUGUCGGGGAACAAAGGCGGAGACGCGUCUCCGGAUGAGUGUACCCGAAGAAAAAGCAUCGGCUAACUCCGUGCCAGCAGCCGCGGUAAUACGGAGGAUGCGAGCGUUAUCCGGAUUUAUUGGGUUUAAAGGGUGCGCAGGCGGGAGAUCAAGUCAGCGGUAAAAUGUCGGGGCUCAACCCCGGCCGGCCGUUGAAACUGGGUUUU
This 305-nucleotide ribosomal RNA is filed under the name uncultured bacterium. RNAcentral's name for it is "bacterial SSU rRNA". It matches the Rfam family "Bacterial small subunit ribosomal RNA", at positions 338 to 641 of the family's 1533-position model. The record is from RNAcentral.